Molecule: long non-coding RNA, 309 nt
Organism: Scomber scombrus (Atlantic mackerel)
Lineage: Eukaryota; Metazoa; Chordata; Actinopteri; Scombriformes; Scombridae
Exons: 3
Source: RefSeq, a predicted model, not a curated record
AAUUUUAAUUUGACAACUACACCACAAACCACAUCACUUGACGCUGCAUCCACAACACAAAAUUCAACAAAUCAUUCAGUCACUGCACCUAAAGACACAAUAACUUCACCAAAGACACCUUCGAACCAAAAUGUUGUAGCUCUGAGGAUGAGGAUUUCAUCUACAUCUCCACUGUCUGAGGAUGACAUCAGAAAUACUAUCAUACAACAGAUUAAAGAUGAACUAGUGAAACGUGGGCUACCAUCAGACAUAUCUCUCCGCCUUGUGAGCAGUGAGGAGGUCUAAAAGUCAGAACCACAUCAACUGCUG